GAUGAAGAACGCAGCGAAAUGCGAUAAGUAGUGUGAAUUGCAGAAUUCAGUGAAUCAUCGAAUCUUUGAACGCACAUUGCGCCCCUUGGUAUCCCGAGGGGCAUGCCUGUUCGAGCGUCAUUUCACCACUCAAGCCUGGCUUGGUGUUGGGCGACGUCCCCUUUGGGGACGCGCCUCGAAACGCUCGGCGGCGUGGCACCGGCUUUAAGCGUAGCAGAAUCUUUCGCUUUGGAAGUCGGGGCCCCGUCUGCCGGAAGACCUACUCGCAAGGUUGACCUCGGAUCAUGCAGGGAUACCCGCUGAACUUAAGCAUAUCAAUAAGCGGAGGA
RNAcentral lists this unclassified non-coding RNA (329 nucleotides) under soil metagenome. RNAcentral describes it as "partial contains 5.8S ribosomal RNA, internal transcribed spacer 2, and large subunit ribosomal RNA". The stretch from base 1 to 120 matches the Rfam family "5.8S ribosomal RNA", at positions 35 to 154 of the family's 154-position model. The record is from RNAcentral.